UACGAAGGGGGCUAGCGUUGCUCGGAAUUACUGGGCGUAAAGGGAGCGUAGGCGGACAUUUAAGUCAGAGGUGAAAUCCCGGAGCUUAACUUCGGAACUGCCUUUGAUACUGGGUGUCUUGAGUGUGAGAGAGGUAUGUGGAACUCCGAGUGUAGAGGUGAAAUUCGUAGAUAUUCGGAAGAACACCAGUGGCGAAGGCGACAUACUGGAUCAUUACUGACGCUGAGGCUCGAAAGCGUGGGGAGCAAACAGG
This 253-nucleotide ribosomal RNA is filed under the name uncultured bacterium. Its description in RNAcentral is "partial 16S ribosomal RNA". It matches the Rfam family "Bacterial small subunit ribosomal RNA", at positions 524 to 776 of the family's 1533-position model. The record is from RNAcentral.